RNAcentral lists this ribosomal RNA (1380 nucleotides) under Triticum aestivum (bread wheat). Its description in RNAcentral is "partial small subunit ribosomal RNA". Lineage: Eukaryota; Viridiplantae; Streptophyta; Magnoliopsida; Poales; Poaceae. The record is from RNAcentral.
AUGGUUCUGCUUGAGACUCCCUCUGGUUUUGGCAUGUUCCUUGUUAAGGAUUUUGUAUUCAAAGAAGAAAAGAAUAAUAUCUGGGUGCUCUUCUCGGAUCCAGAAUAUGCAAUUCAGGCUCUAGUCGCGCUUGGUUUCAGAAAAGUUGAUGACAGAUCUAUUGCUCGGAAUCGUAAUAAGGGUCCUGGAAAGGACCUGAUGUCGCUUAUUAAGAAAUUCUGCAAGAAAGGAGAGGAAUUAAUUGUUCAAGAUAAGGAACUAAAAGCUUCUGUUGAGAAAAGGCUUAAGAUCACAUGUAUAUGUGAUGGAUAUACCGUUGGUGAGCUAAUGUGGGGGAUAAAGAAUGUUUUGCACAAAUUUAUUUACGAAGAAAGGUGCAAUACAACUCCGGAAUAUUGUCUCCCGGUGAGCGAGGGAUUGCAAGAGGCCUUACAAUAUUAUUUAGUCAAUAUCCCACCAACUAAGCUUGACAGAGCUUUCGUAUCCAACUUUGGUUUCUUGCGCUACCUUGACUUGAAUGUAGAGGCUUUUCCAAAAGAAUUAUCAAGGUCAUUUGAUGAGUAUGUUGGGAUUGGUGAGACUGUUAAAGAUAGUUUGGACUAUGUAAAAGUCCUUGCAUCGGUACUUGUCCCUGAGUUGGUGGAAAAAUAUGGUUUCUCCAAGACAUUUUCACCUGAAUUGGUGUCGAAGUUACAUCAGGCUAAAAUACAUCAAGCUGAACGUGGAGAUGACCUUACUAUGGAUGACAUAAAAAAGAUAAUGGGAGUCCUUGAUUAUCUCUUGAAUGUUCCUGAGCGAAGAAACAAGAUUCUUAUGGAUGUGAAGCUUAUGGAAGCAACAUUUUUCAGAUCACAUUUGUCAGAGCUCCGAAAGGCAGAGGAAACUGUGGAUUUCGAUAAUAUGGAAUUUAGGAGGGCGCUGCUCCAGACUCCCUCAGGUUUUGCUAUAUUUAAUGUUCGCGAGGAUGUGUUUACCAGUCCUCGAGAGAUUGUCUUUGCCCUUGGUUUUAUAAGAGUUGAUAAUUCUAUUGUCCGUGAUAGUGUUAUUGGUCCUGGUGGCAAACUGAGACAGCUCAUUCUAAGAUUCUGCAAGGCUAAUGAGGAAUUGGUUGUUCAAGACGCUGAGCUUAAAGCUGUUAUCGAGUCGAAACUAGGUGUCAAAUGCUGGACUGGUGAUGAAGCUGUGGAUGAGUUGUUUUGGGGUAUAAAGCAUUUCCUGUCUGAUUUUAUACCCGAAGAAAAAGAUAAGCUUACCGACGAGUAUUUUUCCCCAUUGAGCAAGCAAUUGCUAAGGGACUUGGAAACAUACAAGAUCAAUAUAUCCCCGAGUAAGAUCUGGAAUGGAUUCAUUCGGUGGAAAUGGCUGGCACUUCUAAAAUGA